This 508-nucleotide ribosomal RNA is filed under the name uncultured bacterium. Its description in RNAcentral is "bacterial SSU rRNA". It matches the Rfam family "Bacterial small subunit ribosomal RNA", at positions 8 to 507 of the family's 1533-position model. The record is from RNAcentral.
AGAGUUUGAUCAUGGCUCAGAGUGAACGCUGGCGGCAGGCCUAAUACAUGCAAGUCGAACGGCAGCACAGCAGAGCUUGCUCUGUGGGUGGCGAGUGGCGGACGGGUGAGGAAUACGUGGGAAUCUGCCCAGUCGUGGGGGAUAACGUAGGGAAACUUACGCUAAUACCGCAUGCGCCCUUCGGGGAAAGCCGGGACCUUCGGGCCUGGCGCGAUUGGAUGAGCCCACGUCGGAUUAGCUAGUUGGCGGGGUAAAGGCCCACCAAGGCGACGAUCCGUAGCUGGUCUGAGAGGAUGAUCAGCCACACUGGAACUGAGACACGGUCCAGACUCCUACGGGAGGCAGCAGUAGGGAAUAUUGGACAAUGGGCGCAAGCCUGAUCCAGCCAUGCCGCGUGAGUGAAGAAGGCCCUCGGGUUGUAAAGCUCUUUUGUCCGGAAAGAAAAGCGCCGGGUUAAUACCCUGGUGUCCUGACGGUACCGGAAGAAUAAGCACCGGCUAACUUCGUG